UNUGGAGUAAAAGGCUAUGGCUCAACCAUAGUGUGCUCUGGAAACUGUCUGACUUGAGUGCAGAAGGGGAGAGUGGAAUUCCAUGUGUAGCGGUGAAAUGCGUAGAUAUAUGGAGGANCACCAGUGGCGAAAGCGGCUCUCUGGUCUGUCACUGACGCUGAGGCUCGAAAGCGUGGGUAGCGAACAGGAUUAGAUACCCUGGUAGUCCACGCCGUAAACGAUGAGUGCUAGGUGUUAGGCCCUUUCCGGGGCUUAGUGCCGGAGCUAACGCAAUAAGCACUCCGCCUGGGGAGUACGACCGCAAGGUUGAAACUCAAAGGAAUUGACGGGGGCCCGCACAAGCGGUGGAGCAUGUGGUUUAAUUCGAAGCAACGCGAAGAACCUUACCAGGUCUUGACAUCCCGAUGCUAUUCUUAGAGAUAGGAAGUUACUUCGGUACAUCGGAGACAGGUGGUGCAUGGUUGUCGUCAGCUCGUGUCGUGAGAUGUUGGGUUAAGUCCCGCAACGAGCGCAACCCUUAUUGUUAGUUGCCAUCAUUAAGUUGGGCACUCUAGCGAGACUGCCGGUAAUAAACCGGAGGAAGGUGGGGAUGACGUCAAAUCAUCAUGCCCCUUAUGACCUGGGCUACACACGUGCUACAAUGGUCGGUACAACGAGUUGCGAGCCGGUGACGGCAAGCUAAUCUCUGAAAGCCGAUCUCAGUUCGGAUUGGAGGCUGCAACUCGCCUCCAUGAAGUCGGAAUCGCUAGUAAUCGCGGAUCAGCACGCCGCGGUGAAUACGUUCCCGGGCCUUGUACACANCGCCCGUCACACCACGAGAGUUUGUAACACC
This 832-nucleotide ribosomal RNA is filed under the name uncultured bacterium. Its description in RNAcentral is "bacterial SSU rRNA". It matches the Rfam family "Bacterial small subunit ribosomal RNA", at positions 588 to 1421 of the family's 1533-position model. The record is from RNAcentral.